Molecule: ribosomal RNA, 484 nt
Filed under: uncultured bacterium
Lineage: Bacteria
Description: partial 16S ribosomal RNA
Rfam family: Bacterial small subunit ribosomal RNA
Source: RNAcentral
AUUGAACGCUGGCGGCAGGCCUAACACAUACAAGUCGAGCGGAUGAAGGGAGCUUGCUCCUGGAUUCAGCGGCGGACGGGUGAGUAAUGCCUAGGAAUCUGCCUGGUAGUGGGGGAUAACGUCCGGAAACGGGCGCUAAUACCGCAUACGUCCUGAGGGAGAAAGUGGGGGAUCUUCGGACCUCACGCUAUCAGAUGAGCCUAGGUCGGAUUAGCUAGUUGGUGGGGUAAAGGCCUACCAAGGCGACGAUCCGUAACUGGUCUGAGAGGAUGAUCAGUCACACUGGAACUGAGACACGGUCCAGACUCCUACGGGAGGCAGCAGUGGGGAAUAUUGGACAAUGGGCGAAAGCCUGAUCCAGCCAUGCCGCGUGUGUGAAGAAGGUCUUCGGAUUGUAAAGCACUUUAAGUUGGGAGGAAGGGCGGUAAGUUAAUACCUUGCUGUUUUGACGUUACCAACAGAAUAAGCACCGGCUAACUUCGUG